Molecule: transfer RNA, 69 nt
Filed under: Marmota marmota marmota (Alpine marmot)
Lineage: Eukaryota; Metazoa; Chordata; Mammalia; Rodentia; Sciuridae
Also listed under: 3 other names
Rfam family: tRNA
About the family: Transfer RNA (tRNA) molecules are approximately 80 nucleotides in length. Their secondary structure includes four short double-helical elements and three loops (D, anti-codon, and T loops).
Source: Rfam by way of RNAcentral
GGGGUUGUAGCUCAGUGGUAGAGUACUUGCCUUGCAUGCAUUAGGCCCUGGGUUCGAUCCUCAGCACCA